CAAGUCAUGUCACUUUAUGUUGGACCACACCACCCCAACGGCUAGCUAUGUACCAGCUGAGGUCACGUCAAAUCAUGCCAUCCGACGGCGUAUAACUGGCCCCCGAGGCCCAUUCCUCUCGAUCCUUGAUUCGGUUGCCACAUCCUGUAGCAUCCAUCCGAAGUCUCCAUACGACUAUCAAGUCGAGUCAUUAAAGAUAGCAGCUUGUCAUGAUGAUCC
This 219-nucleotide long non-coding RNA is filed under the name Elaeis guineensis (African oil palm). RNAcentral's name for it is "long non-coding RNA (EGUI_LNC002303)". Lineage: Eukaryota; Viridiplantae; Streptophyta; Magnoliopsida; Arecales; Arecaceae. The record is from RNAcentral.